This 1347-nucleotide ribosomal RNA is filed under the name uncultured bacterium. RNAcentral's name for it is "bacterial SSU rRNA". It matches the Rfam family "Bacterial small subunit ribosomal RNA", at positions 28 to 1382 of the family's 1533-position model. The record is from RNAcentral.
GACGAACUUUGGCGGCGUGCUUAACACAUGCAAGUCGAACGGAAAGGCCCUGCUUUUGUGGGGUGCUCGAGUGGCGAACGGGUGAGUAACACGUGAGUAACCUGCCCUUGACUUUGGGAUAACUUCAGGAAACUGGGGCUAAUACCGGAUAGGAGCUCCUGCUGCAUGGUGGGGGUUGGAAAGUUUCGGCGGUUGGGGAUGGACUCGCGGCUUAUCAGCUUGUUGGUGGGGUAGUGGCUUACCAAGGCUUUGACGGGUAGCCGGCCUGAGAGGGUGACCGGCCACAUUGGGACUGAGAUACGGCCCAGACUCCUACGGGAGGCAGCAGUGGGGAAUAUUGCACAAUGGGCGGAAGCCUGAUGCAGCAACGCCGCGUGCGGGAUGACGGCCUUCGGGUUGUAAACCGCUUUCGCCUGUGACGAAGCGUGAGUGACGGUAAUGGGUAAAGAAGCACCGGCUAACUACGUGCCAGCAGCCGCGGUGAUACGUAGGGUGCGAGCGUUGUCCGGAUUUAUUGGGGCGUAAGGGCUCGUAGGUGGUUGAUCGCGUCGGAAGUGUAAUCUUGGGGCUUAACCCUGAGCGUGCUUUCGAUACGGGUUGACUUGAGGAAGGUAGGGGAGAAUGGAAUUCCUGGUGGAGCGGUGGAAUGCGCAGAUAUCAGGAGGAACACCAGUGGCGAAGGCGGUUCUCUGGGCCUUUCCUGACGCUGAGGAGCGAAAGCGUGGGGAGCGAACAGGCUUAGAUACCCUGGUAGUCCACGCUGUAAACGGUGGGUACUAGGUGUGGGGUCCAUUCCACGGGUUCCGUGCCGUAGCUAACGCUUUAAGUACCCCGCCUGGGGAGUACGGCCGCAAGGCUAAAACUCAAAGGAAUUGACGGGGCCCCGCACAAGCGGCGGAGCAUGCGGAUUAAUUCGAUGCAACGCGUAGAACCUUACCUGGGUUUGACAUGGAUCGGGAGCGCUCAGAGAUGGGUGUGCCUCUUUUGGGGUCGGUUCACAGGUGGUGCAUGGCUGUCGUCAGCUCGUGUCGUGAGAUGUUGGGUUAAGUCCCGCAACGAGCGCAACCCUUGUUCACUGUUGCCAGCACGUUAUGGUGGGGACUCAGUGGAGACCGCCGGGGUCAACUCGGAGGAAGGUGGGGAUGACGUCAAGUCAUCAUGCCCCUUAUGUCCAGGGCUUCACGCAUGCUACAAUGGCUGGUACAGAGAGUGGCGAGCCUGUGAGGGUGAGCGAAUCUCGGAAAGCCGGUCUCAGUUCGGAUUGGGGUCUGCAACUCGACCUCAUGAAGUCGGAGUCGCUAGUAAUCGCAGAUCAGCAACGCUGCGGUGAAUACGUUCCCGGGGGCU